UACGAAGGGGGCUAGCGUUGCUCGGAAUCACUGGGCGUAAAGGGCGCGUAGGCGGGCUCUUAAGUCAGGGGUGAAAGCCCAAGGCUCAACCUUGGAAUUGCCUGUCAAACUGCAUGGCUUGAGACCGGGAGAGGUGAGUGGAAUUCCCAGUGUAGCGGUGAAAUGCGUAGAUAUUGGGAGGAACACCAGUGGCGAAGGCGGCUCACUGGACCGGUACUGACGCUGAGGCGCGAAAGCGUGGGUAGCAAACAGG
This 253-nucleotide ribosomal RNA is filed under the name uncultured bacterium. Its description in RNAcentral is "partial 16S ribosomal RNA". It matches the Rfam family "Bacterial small subunit ribosomal RNA", at positions 524 to 776 of the family's 1533-position model. The record is from RNAcentral.